This 203-nucleotide long non-coding RNA is filed under the name Nicotiana benthamiana. RNAcentral's name for it is "long non-coding RNA (NBEN_LNC014194)". The record is from RNAcentral. Lineage: Eukaryota; Viridiplantae; Streptophyta; Magnoliopsida; Solanales; Solanaceae.
AGCACCACCCAAAUUGCUGUCUACGGCUGAACCUGACCUUCAACAGGUCUUAACUCCUCAAUUUGAACUGACAAGCUAGUCAAGGGUGUGCCAGCACCCUAAAUUGCUAGGCAUGACCACCAGCUUGCCUCUUCCCCUUUUACUGCACUUGCACUUACUCUUAGACCCUAAGUUCUGCCCCCCUCCUAUGAGCCUUGCCUUGG